UACGAAGGGUGCAAGCGUUACUCGGAAUUACUGGGCGUAAAGCGUGCGUAGGUGGUGAGUUAAGUCUGUCGUGAAAGCCCCGGGCUCAACCUGGGAAUGGCGAUGGAUACUGGCUCGCUAGAGUGCGGUAGAGGAGAGUGGAAUUCCCGGUGUAGCAGUGAAAUGCGUAGAGAUCGGGAGGAACACCCGUGGCGAAAGCGGCGCGCUGGACCACUACUGACGCUGAGGAACGAAAGCUAGGGGAGCAAACAGG
This 253-nucleotide ribosomal RNA is filed under the name uncultured bacterium. RNAcentral's name for it is "partial 16S ribosomal RNA". It matches the Rfam family "Bacterial small subunit ribosomal RNA", at positions 524 to 776 of the family's 1533-position model. The record is from RNAcentral.